Molecule: ribosomal RNA, 500 nt
Filed under: uncultured bacterium
Lineage: Bacteria
Description: partial 16S ribosomal RNA
Rfam family: Bacterial small subunit ribosomal RNA
Source: RNAcentral
AUUGAACGCUGGCGGAAUGCUUUACACAUGCAAGUCGAACGGCAGCACGGACUUCGGUCAGGUGGCGAGUGGCGAACGGGUGAGUAAUAUAUCGGAACGUAUCCAAUAAUGGGGGAUAACUAAUCGAAAGGUUGGCUAAUACCGCAUACGUCCUACGGGAGAAAGCUAGGGACCUUCGGGCCUGGCGUUAAUGGAGCGGCCGAUAUCGGAUUAGCUAGUUGGUGAGGUAAAGGCUCACCAAGGCGACGAUCCGUAGCUGGUCUGAGAGGACGACCAGCCACACUGGAACUGAGACACGGUCCAGACUCCUACGGGAGGCAGCAGUGGGGAAUUUUGGACAAUGGGCGAAAGCCUGAUCCAGCCAUUCCGCGUGAGUGAAGAAGGCCUUCGGGUUGUAAAGCUCUUUCGCAAGAGAAGAAAACCUACCCUCUAACAUAGGGUGAGGUUGACGGUAUCUUGAUAAGAAGCACCGGCUAACUACGUGCCAGCAGCCGCGGUAA